AGUCGAGCGGUAAGGCUCCUUCGGGAGUACACGAGCGGCGAACGGGUGAGUAACACGUGAGCAAUCUGCCCUUCUCAUCGGAAUAACCAUUGGAAACGAUGGCUAAUGCCGAAUAUGACCUCGGAUCACAUGUUCUGAGGUGGAAAGCUCCGGCGGAGAAGGAUGAGCUCGCGGCCUAUCAGCUUGUUGGUGAGGUAAUGGCUCACCAAGGCAUUGACGGGUAGCCGGCCUGAGAGGGUGACCGGCCACACUGGGACUGAGACACGGCCCAGACUCCUACGGGAGGCAGCAGUGGGGAAUAUUGGACAAUGGGCGAAAGCCUGAUCCAGCAACGCCGCGUGAGGGAUGACGGCCUUCGGGUUGUAAACCUCUUUCAGCAGGGACGAAGCGAAAGUGACGGUACCUGCAGAAGAAGGACCGGCCAACUACGUGCCAGCAGCCGCGGUAAUACGUAGGGUCCGAGCGUUGUCCGGAAUUAUUGGGCGUAAAGGGCUCGUAGGCGGUUUGUCGCGUCGGGAGUGAAAACUCAGGGCUCAACCCUGAGCGUGCUUCCGAUACGGGCAGACUAGAGGUAUGCAGGGGAGAACGGAAUUCCUGGUGUAGCGGUGGAAUGCGCAGAUAUCAGGAGGAACACCGGUGGCGAAGGCGGUUCUCUGGGCAUUACCUGACGCUGAGGAGCGAAAGCAUGGGGAGCGAACAGGAUUAGAUACCCUGGUAGUCCAUGCCGUAAACGUUGGGCGCUAGGUGUGGGGACCUUCCACGGUCUCCGUGCCGCAGCUAACGCAUUAAGCG
Molecule: ribosomal RNA, 792 nt
Filed under: Aeromicrobium sp. 9AM
Lineage: Bacteria; Bacillati; Actinomycetota; Actinomycetes; Propionibacteriales; Nocardioidaceae
Description: bacterial SSU rRNA
Rfam family: Bacterial small subunit ribosomal RNA
Source: RNAcentral